Molecule: ribosomal RNA, 501 nt
Filed under: uncultured bacterium
Lineage: Bacteria
Description: partial 16S ribosomal RNA
Rfam family: Bacterial small subunit ribosomal RNA
Source: RNAcentral
AUUGAACACUGGCGGCAGGCUUAACACAUGCAAGUCGAGCGGAGAUGAGGUGCUUGCACCUUAUCUUAGCGGCGGACGGGUGAGUAAUGCUUAGGAAUCUGCCUAUUAGUGGGGGACAACAUUCCGAAAGGAAUGCUAAUACCGCAUACGUCCUACGGGAGAAAGCAGGGGAUCUUCGGACCUUGCGCUAAUAGAUGAGCCUAAGUCGGAUUAGCUAGUUGGUGGGGUAAAGGCCUACCAAGGCGACGAUCUGUAGCGGGUCUGAGAGGAUGAUCCGCCACACUGGGACUGAGACACGGCCCAGACUCCUACGGGAGGCAGCAGUGGGGAAUAUUGGACAAUGGGGGAAACCCUGAUCCAGCCAUGCCGCGUGUGUGAAGAAGGCCUUAUGGUUGUAAAGCACUUUAAGCGGGGAGGAGGCUACUGAGACUAAUACUCUUGGAUAGUGGACGUUACUCGCAGAAUAAGCACCGGCUAACUCUGUGCCAGCCGCCGCAGUAA